This is a small nuclear RNA of Chrysemys picta bellii (western painted turtle), 155 nucleotides long. Its record names the gene U1. It matches the Rfam family "U1 spliceosomal RNA". Rfam says of the family: U1 is a small nuclear RNA (snRNA) component of the spliceosome (involved in pre-mRNA splicing). Its 5' end forms complementary base pairs with the 5' splice junction, thus defining the 5' donor site of an intron. The record is from Ensembl. NCBI's taxonomy places the organism in Eukaryota, Metazoa, Chordata, Testudines, Emydidae.
AUACUUACCUGGCAGGGGAGAUACCAUGAUCACAAAGAUGGUUUUCCCAGGGUGAGGUUCAUCCAUUGCACUGCGGGUGUGCUGAUUUCCCCAAAUGCGGGAAACUCGACUGCAUAAUUUGUGGUAGUGGGGGACUGUGUUCGCGCUUUCCCCUG